UAAAAGCAGCCGUCUUUGCUUCUUGGCUUC
Molecule: non-coding RNA, 30 nt
Filed under: Rattus norvegicus (Norway rat)
Lineage: Eukaryota; Metazoa; Chordata; Mammalia; Rodentia; Muridae
Source: RNAcentral